This 28-nucleotide transfer RNA is filed under the name Tamiasciurus hudsonicus (American red squirrel). Its description in RNAcentral is "partial tRNA-Pro". Lineage: Eukaryota; Metazoa; Chordata; Mammalia; Rodentia; Sciuridae. The record is from RNAcentral.
UGAUAUUCUCAUGUAUAACUAUUCCCUG